This 715-nucleotide ribosomal RNA is filed under the name uncultured bacterium. RNAcentral describes it as "bacterial SSU rRNA". It matches the Rfam family "Bacterial small subunit ribosomal RNA", at positions 51 to 766 of the family's 1533-position model. The record is from RNAcentral.
ACACAUGCAAGUCGAGCGAAGCGAUCGAGAUGAAGUUUUCGGAUGGAUUCCUGAUUGACUGAGCGGCGGACGGGUGAGUAACGCGUGGGUAACCUGCCUCAUACAGGGGGAUAACAGUUAGAAAUGACUGCUAAUACCGCAUAAGCGCACAGUACCACAUGGUACGGUGUGAAAAACUCCGGUGGUAUGAGAUGGACCCGCGUCUGAUUAGCUAGUUGGUGGGGUAACGGCCCACCAAGGCGACGAUCAGUAGCCGACCUGAGAGGGUGACCGGCCACAUUGGGACUGAGACACGGCCCAAACUCCUACGGGAGGCAGCAGUGGGGAAUACUGCACAAUGGGGGAAACCCUGAUGCAGCAACGCCGCGUGAGUGAAGAAGUAUUUCGGUAUGUAAAGCUCUAUCAGCAGGGAAGAAAAUGACGGUACCUGACUAAGAAGCCCCGGCUAACUACGUGCCAGCAGCCGCGGUAAUACGUAGGGGGCAAGCGUUAUCCGGAUUUACUGGGUGUAAAGGGAGCGUAGACGGCAGCGCAAGUCUGAAGUGAAAGCCCGGGGCUCAACCCCGGAAUGGCUUUGGAAACUGUGCGGCUGGAGUACCGGAGGGGUAAGCGGAAUUCCUAGUGUAGCGGUGAAAUGCGUAGAUAUUAGGAGGAACACCAGUGGCGAAGGCGGCUUACUGGACGGUAACUGACGUUGAGGCUCGAAAGCGUGGGG